Long non-coding RNA from Pomacea canaliculata, 631 nucleotides. RefSeq lists it as uncharacterized. The transcript is spliced from 4 exons. Lineage: Eukaryota; Metazoa; Mollusca; Gastropoda; Architaenioglossa; Ampullariidae. The record is from RefSeq and is a predicted model, not a curated record.
GCACACGCAGACUCGCUGACCAUCCCUUGAGUCAGUAUACAGUUCUUUUGAAUAUUACACAUUGUCAAACAUGUGGAAAAUGUGUUCUGAGAAAAAAUACACAUAUUUCUAACCUGAAGUCACGAUUGAGUGCACCCCAGGGUCAAUGGUAUGCAGGUGUGUUAUAGAGCUUCAGGCAGCAUUUGUUAUCAUUACACGGCCAGCUUCUCAUAUUCCCUUCGCAACUAGGACCAGGAUGAACACGAAGUUGAACGCAGGUAUCUGUGUGACUGGAUUCUUUACAUCUUGUCUCCGCGUCACCUGCUGAAUAAAGCGGACAUCCUAUCUCGUGUUCACACAUACCUCACAUAUCUUAUUAAAUAAUAUCACAUCUCAUGUCCUUAUCUUCGCCCACCAGGAAAGCAGAAGACAGUAAAACAAGAAAAGAAACAUGUCAGCAUGUCAGCGACUUCCAGAACAUUCUCUGCUGCUUAUUAUUUUAUUAAUGUCUGCAUGGAGUUCAUCAGAUAAAAGAACCUGCUCUUUUUAUGACUUCAUUGGCUAUAUUGACAGCAACAUUCAAGGCAACAACAUCGCGUUUGGAGACUGCUUGUUCGAGAAAACCCUGUGUAACUACACACAGGCAUGCACA